GACGGGACCCGCACAAGCGGUGGAUGAUGUGGAUUAAUCGAUGCAACGCGAAAAACCUUUACCUACCCUUGACAUGUCCGGAAUCCCGAAGAGAUUUGGGAGUGCUCGCAAGAGAGCCGGAACACAGGUGCUGCAUGGCUGUCGUCAGCUCGUGUCGUGAGAUGUUGGGUUAAGUCCCGCAACGAGCGCAACCCUUGUCAUUAGUUGCCAUCAUUUGGUUGGGCACUCUAAUGAGACUGCCGGUGACAAACCGGAGGAAGGUGGGGAUGACGUCAAGUCCUCAUGGCCCUUAUGGGUAGGGCUUCACACGUCAUACAAUGGUCGGUACAGAGGGUUGCCAACCCGCGAGGGGGAGCUAAUCCCACAAAGCCGAUCGUAGUCCGGAUCGCAGUCUGCAACUCGACUGCGUGAAGUCGGAAUCGCUAGUAAUCGUGGAUCAGCAUGUCACGGUGAAUACGUUCCCGGGUCUU
This 470-nucleotide ribosomal RNA is filed under the name uncultured Rhodocyclaceae bacterium. RNAcentral's name for it is "bacterial SSU rRNA". It matches the Rfam family "Bacterial small subunit ribosomal RNA", at positions 916 to 1381 of the family's 1533-position model. Lineage: Bacteria; Pseudomonadati; Pseudomonadota; Betaproteobacteria; Rhodocyclales; Rhodocyclaceae. The record is from RNAcentral.